CCUACGGGAGGCAGCAGUGGGGAAUAUUGGGCAAUGGCGCAAGCCUGACCCAGCAACGGCGCGGGAAGGAAGAAGGCUUUUGGGUUGUAAACUUCUUUUUCUAGGGACCAAGAAAGUUACCGUACCCUAGGAAUUAGCCAAGGGUAACCACGUGCCAGCAGCCGCGGUAAUUCGUAGGUGGCAAGCGUUAACCGGAUUUACUGGGGGUAAAGGGCGUGUAGGCGGGAAAGCAAGUCAGAUGUGAAAACCAUGGGCCCAACCUGUGGCCUGCAUUUGAAACUGUUUUUCUUGAGUACUGGAGAGGCAGACGGAAUUCCUCGUGUAGCGGUGAAAUGCGUAGAUAUGAGGAGGAACACCAGUGGCGAAGGCGGUCUGCUGGACAGCAACUGACGCUGAGGCGCGAAAGCGUGGGGAGCAAACAGGAUUAGAUACCCGGGUAGUC
This 442-nucleotide ribosomal RNA is filed under the name uncultured bacterium. RNAcentral's name for it is "partial 16S ribosomal RNA". It matches the Rfam family "Bacterial small subunit ribosomal RNA", at positions 338 to 795 of the family's 1533-position model. The record is from RNAcentral.